RNAcentral lists this ribosomal RNA (497 nucleotides) under uncultured bacterium. RNAcentral describes it as "partial 16S ribosomal RNA". It matches the Rfam family "Bacterial small subunit ribosomal RNA", at positions 28 to 507 of the family's 1533-position model. The record is from RNAcentral.
GAUGAACGCUGGCGGCGUGCCUAAUACAUGCAAGUCGAGCGAACGGACGAGAAGCUUGCUCCUCUGAUGUUAGCGGCGGACGGGUUAGUAACACGUGGAUAACCUACUUAUAAGACUGGGAUAACUUCGGGAAACCGUAGCUAAUACCGGAUAAUAUUUUGAACCGCAUGGUUCAAAAGUGAAAGCCGGUCUUGCUGUCACUUAUAGGUGGAUCCGCGCUGCAUUAGCUAGUUGGUAAGGUAACGGCUUACCAAGGCAACGAUGCAUAGCCGACCUGAGAGGGUGAUCGGACACACUGGAACUGAGACACGGUCCAGACUCCUACGGGAGGCAGCAGUAGGGAAUCUUCCGCAAUGGGCGAAAGCCUGACGGAGCAACGCCGCGUGAGUGAUGAAGGUCUUCGGAUCGUAAAACUCUGUUAUUAGGGAAGAACAGAUGUGUAAGUAACUAUGCACAUCUUGACGGUACCUAAUCAGAAAGCCACGGCUAACUACGUG